CGAACGCUGGCGGCGUGCUUAACACAUGCAAGUCGAACGGUGACGGAGGAGCUUGCUCCUCCUGAUCAGUGGCGAACGGGUGAGUAACACGUGAGCAACCUACCCUCGACUCUGGGAUAACUUCGAGAAAUCGGAGCUAAUACCGGAUACGAGACGCGCAGGCAUCUGCAGCGUCUGGAAAGAUUUAUCGGUCGGGGAUGGGCUCGCGGCCUAUCAGCUAGUUGGUGAGGUAACGGCUCACCAAGGCGACGACGGGUAGCCGGCCUGAGAGGGCGACCGGCCACACUGGGACUGAGACACGGCCCAGACUCCUACGGGAGGCAGCAGUGGGGAAUAUUGCACAAUGGGCGAAAGCCUGAUGCAGCGACGCCGCGUGGGGGAUGAAGGCCUUCGGGUUGUAAACCCCUUUCAGCAGGGAAGAAGCGAAAGUGACGGUACCUGCAGAAGAAGCGCCGGCUAACUAC
RNAcentral lists this ribosomal RNA (464 nucleotides) under uncultured bacterium. RNAcentral describes it as "bacterial SSU rRNA". It matches the Rfam family "Bacterial small subunit ribosomal RNA", at positions 30 to 504 of the family's 1533-position model. The record is from RNAcentral.